Molecule: ribosomal RNA, 350 nt
Filed under: Escherichia coli
Lineage: Bacteria; Pseudomonadati; Pseudomonadota; Gammaproteobacteria; Enterobacterales; Enterobacteriaceae
Description: bacterial SSU rRNA
Rfam family: Bacterial small subunit ribosomal RNA
Source: RNAcentral
UUAAAUUGAAGAGUUUGAUCAUGGCUCAGAUUGAACGCUGGCGGCAGGCCUAACACAUGCAAGUCGAACGGUAACAGGAAGCAGCUUGCUGCUUCGCUGACGAGUGGCGGACGGGUGAGUAAUGUCUGGGAAACUGCCUGAUGGAGGGGGAUAACUACUGGAAACGGUAGCUAAUACCGCAUAACGUCGCAAGACCAAAGAGGGGGACCUUCGGGCCUCUUGCCAUCGGAUGUGCCCAGAUGGGAUUAGCUAGUAGGUGGGGUAACGGCUCACCUAGGCGACGAUCCCUAGCUGGUCUGAGAGGAUGACCAGCCACACUGGAACUGAGACACGGUCCAGACUCCUACGGG